RNAcentral lists this ribosomal RNA (586 nucleotides) under uncultured bacterium. Its description in RNAcentral is "partial 16S ribosomal RNA". It matches the Rfam family "Bacterial small subunit ribosomal RNA", at positions 355 to 1375 of the family's 1533-position model. The record is from RNAcentral.
UGGGGAAUUUUGGACAAUGGGCGAAAGCCUGAUCCAGCAAUGCCGCGUGUGUGAAGAAGGCCUUCGGGUUGUAAAGCACUUUUGUCCGGAAAGAAAUCCUUGGCUCUAAUACAGUCGGGGGAUGACGGUACCGGAAGAAUAAGCACCGGCUAACUACGUGCCAGCAGCCGCGGUAAUACGUAGGGUGCAAGCGUUAAUCGGAAUUACUGGGCGUAAAGCGUGCGCAGGCGGUUUGCUAAGACCGAUGUGAAAUCCCCGGGCUCAACCUGGGAACUGCAUUGGUGACUGGCAGGCUAGAGUAUGGCAGAGGGGGGUAGAAUUCCACGUGUAGCAGUGAAAUGCGUAGAGAUGUGGAGGAAUACCGAUGGCGAAGGCAGCCCCCUGGGCCAAUACUGACGCUCAUGCACGAAAGCGUGGGGAGCAAACAGGAUUAGAUACCCUGGUAGUCCACGCCCUAAAACGAUGUCAACUAGUUGCUGGGGAUUCAUUUCCUUAGUAACGUAGCUAACGCGUGAAGUUGACCGCCUGGGGAGUACGGUCGCAAGAUUAAAACUCAAAGGAAUUGACGGGGUCAUAGCUGUUUCCU